Molecule: ribosomal RNA, 490 nt
Filed under: uncultured bacterium
Lineage: Bacteria
Description: partial 16S ribosomal RNA
Rfam family: Bacterial small subunit ribosomal RNA
Source: RNAcentral
GAUGAACGCUAGCUACAGGCUUAACACAUGCAAGUCGCGGGGCCGCAUGGGGGUUGCUUUCCAUCCCCGAUGGCGACCGGCGCACGGGUGAGUAACGCGUAUCCAACCUGCCCUUCACCACGGGCUAACCCGGCGAAAGUCUGACUACUGCCGUUUGUUGUCCCUUCACGGCAUCCGAGUUAGACGCAAGUCUUGUCGCACAGGGAGGGGGAUGCGUCCGAUUUGCCCUACGGCGGAGUAACACCCCACCCUGGCUACGCUCGGUAGGGGUUCUGAGAGGGAGGUCCCCCAGACUGGAACUGAGACACGGUCCAGAAUGCGACGGAAGGCAGGAGUGUGGAAUAUUGGGCAAUGAGCGUAAGCCUGAACCAGCCAAGUAGCGUGCAGGAUGACGGCCCUAGGGGUUGUAAACUGCUUGUAAGCGGGGAUAAAGUGGGCAACGAGUCGGCUUUUGAAGGUACCGAAUGAAUAAGGACCGGCUAAUUACGUG